This is a long non-coding RNA of Hyla sarda, 482 nucleotides long. RefSeq lists it as uncharacterized. The transcript has 3 exons. The record is from RefSeq and is a predicted model, not a curated record. NCBI's taxonomy places the organism in Eukaryota, Metazoa, Chordata, Amphibia, Anura, Hylidae.
GUGAGGAGUGAAGUCUGUGAGGUGGAUCUGAAAGGAGGCCUGAGGCCUAGUCCAGCAACCACACAUCUACUACCAGUUAACCCCACUACCCAGAGAAUUCCAUUUUGUUUAAAGUUUACUUACUGGGAAAACAUCAGGAGAACAACUCCUCAAUGAUUUCCAACCAUCAUUGAACAUCAAUGUUGACAAGACUUCAUGGAUCCCGUAUUUCUUCGUCUUUUAUUCAUCCUACAUCCUCUUCACUUGCUGAUAUUCCGGUUACUAUUUCCUGUUUGAUGUAACGUUGCAAAGAAGAAGGGAGAUGCCUGGGAAUCGGUCACCUUUAUCACCUGCCUUGCUGUCUGAUUGGCCAAUGAUACAGGACAUGAUACUAGGUUGCACCCUAGAUUGUUCAGCCAUAUACUCUUUAUAUGCCUCAAAAAAUUAUUUUUUCUUGUUAAUACAUACAGUUUAUAUUUGCUGCUGAAGUUCAGUAAAGAAGU